Molecule: long non-coding RNA, 203 nt
Organism: Dermochelys coriacea (leatherback sea turtle)
Lineage: Eukaryota; Metazoa; Chordata; Testudines; Dermochelyidae
Exons: 3
Source: RefSeq, a predicted model, not a curated record
AACAUGUCCCUUUUUUGGCUCCUAUGGGUAGGUGUGGCCAGGGGGCUCUGCACGCUGCGCCAUCUGCAGGCACUGCCCCUGCAGCUCCCAUUGGAGCACUGGAGGGGACCAUUGGAGUGGGGCCAUUGGAACUCGUAGGACCCAAAGCGGGGCCAUGCCGCUGCUUCUGGGAGCCACGUGGAGUGGCCCCCGACCCUGCUUCC